GGAACACCUCCGCGUCGCGAACUUGUUUCCCGACGAAAUCUGCGAAAAUAAAACUCAAGUUUGACUUGUUUAAAAGGUCCAACUAAGUGAGGGUUAGUUUGGGUACUUUGGGGAAUUAUUAUAAACGGUUAUUCUACCUAUUUUAGGGUAAUUUAAGUUGGUUAAAACCCCUAAACCAAAAAUUAGACCCCAUUCUUCAAAUUGACCCUUCCCUCUCAAAAUAGAUUCUCUCAAAAACUACAUUGAAGACCUUGAUGAAGCUCAA
This 265-nucleotide long non-coding RNA is filed under the name Solanum tuberosum (potato). RNAcentral describes it as "long non-coding RNA (STUB_LNC002662)". Lineage: Eukaryota; Viridiplantae; Streptophyta; Magnoliopsida; Solanales; Solanaceae. The record is from RNAcentral.